GAACGCUGGCGGCGUGCCUAAUACAUGCAAGUAGAACGCUGAAGAGAGGAGCUUGCUCUUCUUGGAUGAGUUGCGAACGGGUGAGUAACGCGUAGGUAACCUGCCUUGUAGCGGGGGAUAACUAUUGGAAACGAUAGCUAAUACCGCAUAACAAUGGAUGACCCAUGUCAUUUAUUUGAAAGGGGCAAAUGCUCCACUACAAGAUGGACCUGCGUUGUAUUAGCUAGUAGGUGAGGUAACGGCUCACCUAGGCGACGAUACAUAGCCGACCUGAGAGGGUGAUCGGCCACACUGGGACUGAGACACGGCCCAGACUCCUACGGGAGGCAGCAGUAGGGAAUCUUCGGCAAUGGGGGCAACCCUGACCGAGCAACGCCGCGUGAGUGAAGAAGGUUUUCGGAUCGUAAAGCUCUGUUGUAAGUCAAGAACGAGUGUGAGAGUGGAAAGUUCACACUGUGACGGUAGCUUACCAGAAAGGGACGGCUAACUACGUGCC
This 496-nucleotide ribosomal RNA is filed under the name uncultured Bacilli bacterium. RNAcentral's name for it is "bacterial SSU rRNA". It matches the Rfam family "Bacterial small subunit ribosomal RNA", at positions 31 to 509 of the family's 1533-position model. Lineage: Bacteria; Bacillati; Bacillota; Bacilli. The record is from RNAcentral.